RNAcentral lists this ribosomal RNA (253 nucleotides) under uncultured bacterium. RNAcentral describes it as "partial 16S ribosomal RNA". It matches the Rfam family "Bacterial small subunit ribosomal RNA", at positions 524 to 776 of the family's 1533-position model. The record is from RNAcentral.
UACGUAGGGGGCAAGCGUUGUCCGGAAUCAUUGGGCGUAAAGCGCACGUAGGCGGUUUGUUAAGUCGGAUGUGAAAUCCCUCGGCUCAACUGAGGAAGUGCACCCGAAACUGGCAAGCUUGAGUACUAAAGAGGGUCGCGGAAUUCCCGGUGUAGAGGUGAAAUUCGUAGAUAUCGGGAGGAACACCGGUGGCGAAGGCGGCGACCUGGGUAGAUACUGACGCUGAGGUGCGAAAGCCAGGGGAGCAAACGGG